CCUACGGGAGGCAGCAGUGGGGAAUAUUGCACAAUGGGGGAAACCCUGAUGCAGCGACGCCGCGUGAGUGAAGAAGUAUUUCGGUAUGUAAAGCUCUAUCAGCAGGGAAGAAGAAAGACGGUACCUGACUAAGAAGCCCCGGCUAACUACGUGCCAGCAGCCGCGGGAAUACGUAGGGGGCAAGCGUUAUCCGGAUUUACUGGGUGUAAAGGGAGCGUAGACGGCUGUGCAAGUCUGAAGUGAAAGCCCAGGGCUCAACCCUGGGACUGCUUUGGAAACUGUGGAGCUAGAGUGCUGGAGAGGUAAGUGGAAUUCCUAGUGUAGCGGUGAAAUGCGUAGAUAUUAGGAGGAACACCAGUGGCGAAGGCGGCUUACUGGACAGUAACUGACGUUGAGGCUCGAAAGCGUGGGGAGCAAACAGGAUUAGAUACCCGUGUAGUC
This 441-nucleotide ribosomal RNA is filed under the name uncultured bacterium. Its description in RNAcentral is "partial 16S ribosomal RNA". It matches the Rfam family "Bacterial small subunit ribosomal RNA", at positions 338 to 795 of the family's 1533-position model. The record is from RNAcentral.